Long non-coding RNA from Antechinus flavipes (yellow-footed antechinus), 447 nucleotides. RefSeq lists it as uncharacterized. NCBI's taxonomy places the organism in Eukaryota, Metazoa, Chordata, Mammalia, Dasyuromorphia, Dasyuridae. The transcript is spliced from 2 exons. The record is from RefSeq and is a predicted model, not a curated record.
UCUUGCAGUUCAUAAUUGAGAAAACUACAGCCAGGACAAAUUAAGCUGAAUUCACCUUCUCUCAAUCCUGUUCUUUCAACUUAACAAAAUCUGACAAAUCAAUCUAAUAAGGUAUUUCUUUUCAAGUAACUUUUACUAUGUGGAAAGAUUUGCUUCACCAAUUAUGCAGCUGCUAUUUGGAUAAACCUGCCUCCACCCCCAGAAGAGAUGGAAGGGCUGCUUACCCCCUUUUGAGGCCUCAUUUCUUCUCUGGCAUCUUCAAAAGAGGAAAAAAAAGGAAAGAAAAAUGAAGGGAAAGGCUGAGAAAUAGUUUGCAGAAGCUGGAACAAUUAUCCACUGGAUUAAAAUCUCUUUGGGGACAGGAACUGCCUUUUAUUUCUGUAUUUCUAGCAGUUAAAGUGUCUGGAACAUAGUAGGUACUUAAUAAAUGCUUUCUGAUUGACUGAA